GUGAGACCCUCAACAAGAUCAAAGGCAGGAAAACUGGUCUCUUCAAGUAUUAGCUGCUGAUGCUGGACCUCGAGGAACAGCUCAAAUUCCUGAAAGAACAACCGCUGACGACGAGUUAACAGAAACAUGGAACCUUCCAAAAGCAGGAGCAACAGGAAGUGACCAGCUAGACAAACAAUGGAGGAGAUCCAGUUGCAGAGUGGUGUUUUUCUGUCGGCCAAUCAGUCGACUGUCAUCGGUGGAACCGGUCUCGCUCCACUCUGACAGUGCCAUUUACUCUGGUACCCCAAGGGAAGAGGGCCAAAGAACAGAACAGUUGAGGAUCGUACAGCGUUCCACUAACAUCAGCCCCAUACAGUGGUGGAUUGAAGGUCAGGUUCUUCCAGAACUUCCUCUCCAGCUCAUCAAAAUCCACAUAUCUGGGAAUGCAGAACCUAGAAGGAGAAACACUGUGAGCU
Molecule: long non-coding RNA, 458 nt
Organism: Solea solea (common sole)
Lineage: Eukaryota; Metazoa; Chordata; Actinopteri; Pleuronectiformes; Soleidae
Exons: 3
Source: RefSeq, a predicted model, not a curated record